AUUGAACGCUGGCGGCAUGCCUUACACAUGCAAGUCGAACGGUAACGGGCCUUCUGGUGCCGACGCGUGGCGGACGGGUGAGUAAUACAUCCGAACGUGCCCGCUCGUGGGGGUGAAAGAAGCGCAGGCUAUUCUAAUACCUCCUACAUUCUACGGAUGACAGCAGGGGGCCGCAUGGACUUUCUCGGCGGGAGCGGCCGAUGGCGCAUUAGGUCGUUGUGUGGGUGAAAGCUUACCUAGCCGACGAUCUGUAGCUGGGCUGGGAGGAGGAUGAGCCACACUGGAAGGUGGACAGGGCCCAGACUCCUGAGGGAGGCAGCAGUGGGGAAUGUUGGACAAUGGGCGGAAGCCUGAUCCAGCCAUGCCGCGUGCAGGAUGAAGGCCUUCGGGUUGUAAACUGCUUUUGUACGGAACGAAAAGCCUUCUUUUAAUACGGGGGGGUCAUGACGGUACCGGAAGAAUAAGCACCGGCUAACUACGUG
Molecule: ribosomal RNA, 482 nt
Filed under: uncultured bacterium
Lineage: Bacteria
Description: partial 16S ribosomal RNA
Rfam family: Bacterial small subunit ribosomal RNA
Source: RNAcentral